This 485-nucleotide ribosomal RNA is filed under the name uncultured bacterium. RNAcentral's name for it is "bacterial SSU rRNA". It matches the Rfam family "Bacterial small subunit ribosomal RNA", at positions 28 to 526 of the family's 1533-position model. The record is from RNAcentral.
AGUGAACGUUGGCGGCGUGGAUUAGGCAUGCGAGUCGAGCGAGAACCGUAGCAAUACGGGGACAGCGGCGAAAGGGACAGUAAUAUGUAGGUACCUACCCUCGGGUCCGGGAUAGCUGCGGGAAACUGCAGGUAAUACCGGAUGACAUCUCCGGAUCAAAGGUGUGAUUCCGCCCGGGGAGGGGCCUGCAUCCUAUUAGCUUGUUGGUGGGGUAACGGCCUACCAAGGCGACGAUGGGUAGCGGGUGUGAGAGCACGACCCGCGUCAUUGGGACUGAGACACUGCCCAGACACCUACGGGUGGCUGCAGUCGAGAAUCUUCGGCAAUGGGGGAAACCCUGACCGAGCGACGCCGCGUGCGGGAUGAAGGCCUUCGGGUUGUAAACCGCUGUCGUAGAGGAGGAAGUGCAGGGGGGUUCUCCCCUCUGUUUGACCUAUUCUAGGAGGAAGGACGGGCUAAGUUCGUGCCAGCCGCCGCCGUAACAC